Molecule: long non-coding RNA, 852 nt
Filed under: Homo sapiens (human)
Lineage: Eukaryota; Metazoa; Chordata; Mammalia; Primates; Hominidae
Source: RNAcentral
AUGAAGAAACUCUGAUUAGAGAGGUUUAAAUAACUUGACCAAGACAUGGGACACGUGAGCGUCAUGGCGAGGGACUGAACCUUGAUUGCUCUGACUUCAACUCCUGAGAUUCUAACGAUGGUCCUCCACCGCUGCUCAGAUCAAGGUUAAUGACAUCUUCAUUUCUACAUUUCUCUGACAUGUUGUAUUGACUCUUCUUCAUUUUGCUGUUAGCAUUCCAGUAUAAGCUUUCUGGUUGCUUCCUCACUGCAUGCUGAUAUGAUUUGGCUGUAUCUUCACCCACAUCUCAUUUUGUAUUGUAGCUCCCAUAAUUCCCACGUGUUGUAGGAGGGACCCAGUGGGAGAUAACUGAAUCAUUGGGGAGGAUUCCCCCAUACUGUUCUCGUGGUAGUGGGUAAGUCUCCUGAGACCUGAUAGUUUUAUAAGGGGAAAUCCCUUUUGCUUGGAUCUCAUUUUUUCUCUUGUCUCCCGCCAUGUGAGAUGUGCCUUUUGCCUUCCACCAUGAUUAUGAGGCCUCCCCAGCCACGUGGAACUGUUGACUCUGAUAUACCUAGAUAUGAUUUUCAUUGUAUUUGUCCUGCAUCAAGUUCACUGGACUUUUGGAAUCUGUAGAUUGAUGCCAGUAUUAACUUUGUAAAAAAACAAACAACAACAACAAAAAAAACUCAAUCAUUGCCUUUUGUCUAUUCCUUUUGUUCCAUUCUUUAUCUCUUCUCCUAGGAUUCCCAUGUUAAUCUACAUAUAUUAUCCCACGGGUCUCUGAUGCUCUGUUCUAUUCAUUAUUUUUUCUCUCUUGUUUAGAUAGUUUCAAUUCCCUGAUCCUUUCUUUUACUAUGUUUAAUCUCCUCCUAC